RNAcentral lists this ribosomal RNA (431 nucleotides) under uncultured bacterium. RNAcentral describes it as "partial 16S ribosomal RNA". It matches the Rfam family "Bacterial small subunit ribosomal RNA", at positions 29 to 507 of the family's 1533-position model. The record is from RNAcentral.
AACGAACGCUGGCGGCAGGCUUAACACAUGCAAGUCGAGCGCCCCGCAAGGGGAGCGGCAGACGGGUGAGUAACGCGUGGGAACGUACCUUUUGGUUCGGAACAACUCCGGGAAACUGGAGCUAAUACCGGAUAAGCCCUAACGGGGAAAGAUUUAUCGCCGAAAGCUCGGCCCGCGUCUGAUUAGCUAGUUGGUGAGGUAAAGGCUCACCAAGGCGACGAUCAGUAGCUGGUCUGAGAGGAUGAUCAGCCACACUGGGACUGAGACACGGCCCAGACUCCUACGGGAGGCAGCAGUGGGGAAUAUUGGACAAGGGGCGCAAGACUGAGCCAGCCAUGCCGCGUGAGUGAUGAAGGCCUUAGGGUUGUAAAGCUCUUUUGUCCGGGAAGAUAAUGACUGUACCGGAAGAAUAAGCCCCGGCUAACUUCGUG